AACGAACGCUGGCGGCGCGCCUAAUACAUGCAAGUCGAGCGAGAAGACGUAGCAAUACGUUUGUAAAGCGGCGAACGGGUGAGGAAUACAUGGGUAACCUACCCUCGAGUGGGGAAUAACUAGCCGAAAGGUUAGCUAAUACCGCGUACGCUCCUUGGACUUCGGUUCAGGGAGGAAAGCGAUACCGUGGGUAUCGCGCUCUUGGAUGGGCUCAUGUCCUAUCAGCUUGUUGGUGAGGUAACGGCUCACCAAGGCUUCGACGGGUAGCUGGUCUGAGAGGACGAUCAGCCACACUGGCACUGCGACACGGGCCAGACUCCUACGGGAGGCAGCAGUAAGGAAUAUUGCGCAAUGGGCGAAAGCCUGACGCAGCGACGCCGCGUGGGGGAUGAAGGUCUUCGGAUUGUAAACCCCUUUCGGGAGGGAAGAUGGAACGAGCAAUCGUUCGGACGGUACCUCCAGAAGCAGCCACGGCUAACUUCGUGCCAGCCGCCGC
Molecule: ribosomal RNA, 496 nt
Filed under: uncultured bacterium
Lineage: Bacteria
Description: bacterial SSU rRNA
Rfam family: Bacterial small subunit ribosomal RNA
Source: RNAcentral